RNAcentral lists this long non-coding RNA (1002 nucleotides) under Amborella trichopoda. Its description in RNAcentral is "long non-coding RNA (ATRI_LNC001442)". The record is from RNAcentral. Lineage: Eukaryota; Viridiplantae; Streptophyta; Magnoliopsida; Amborellales; Amborellaceae.
UCACCAGGGGUCAAGUUCGAGUGAGUGCUCAUGAUCUGUCCAUACACAUAAGAGGUCCACAUGAGAGGAUGUAUCAAAACAUCACCUUAAGGUGGUUAGGCUUGUACUAUAGUGCCAACAAUAAGAACAGGUAGGCAUGGACAUGUGCGUCUCAAUCUCCUUUUGUGGAGAAUUUGUUCCUGAAUUCUGGUACUACAAAACUUAUUGAUAGAUCUUCGUGAGUUUUUAAGGUUUCUUCUAUAAAGUCCUUGAGGUUUGAAAGUCUUGGAUCCCCAUUCUUUUUAAUACGCCCUGAAGGGCCUUCUUAUUUUCAUCCAUCUUAACUAACUAGUCUGCAAGUAUUGAAGUGAUCUGACUGGUGGCAUACAAGGGCUUGGUGUGGCUGAACUUGAGGUGUGCAACUUAUUUAUGAUACUUGAAAGCUCGGCUGGCAAAGUUGCCUUAUCGGUUGGUCUCGGGGAACUGACUGGACUGGUCAUGAUAGUUGUUCGCUAAUGAAGUUAUUAGGUUGGAGUAAUUGGCUAUUGAGAAAGGCAUUCGAGGUAGGUUACUCACUAGAUGUUCGAUAUUGAUUCACAUGGCUACUAUGAUGGCUAGGAGUUCGACGAGAUUGGCUCCCAUGUCUACCAUGUAGGUCGAAGGUUCAGUUUGAGGACCUAGACCUUUAAAUUGGAUCUUGGUUGGAUGGGUCCAGGUUGAUUUGGCUUGAAAGCUAGUGCUUUGAAGUACGUGGCCAACUGGGUGCUCCACUCCUAGCAGGCGACCUAUGAUUCGAGUGACAUGACUGUGCUUGACUGCCAGAGUUAACUCAGAUGUGACCAGCUGGUUGGAUAUUGUUCGAGGGUGUGACCUCGGGUUGGGUUUCUACUAACUCCCCAAGGAUUGCUCCUAGUCUCAUUCCUUAACUAUUUAGAGUAUCUUAGACCAUGUUAAUAAGGUGGUCCAAGGUUCUCAAGUGGUAUCAUAGGGUAGUCCCGACUUGGAGACCAUGGUGUCUAAUCC